AUCCACCUCUGUUUGCUUCAACUUCGUUCUUGCUCUUCUAUUCUGGAACCAAACUUCAACUUGACGAGGCCUUACGUUAAGCUUCCUUGCCAAGUUCUGUUUUUGCUUAAGAUUGAGAGUGCUCUGUUGCUUGAAGCUUUCUUCUAACAGAGCAGAUUGUACUUUGGUGAGCCUAAGUUUCUUCUUUCCAUUUGAAGCAUCAUCAUCUUCAUAAUAAUCUUCAUCAUGACUUACUCUACAAGAAAUUACUCUUUCUACUUCUGUUACCUCACUACCAAUAUCUCUUUCCCUUUUCACACUGCCAUUUGAAUACGACGAAGCAACAGAUAAUUGAUCCUUAUUUUCCGUCUUCAGAUCUACCAUCUGAUGAUCACCGGAAGAAAGGCUUAAAUUCAGAGAGGGCUCAAAACCGAGAUCGGAUUUAACUGCAGCUACUUGUCCGUCUUUUCUUGAUGUCUGAUUCACCGUUGAUGAAUAACCUAAUCCUAAAUCAAGACCGGCACUGUCAUAUAUACUCUCCAUGAUCAGCGAGAAAUCAAAUAUAAUUAGUAGUAAUUCUGAGUUUUGUUGAAAUCUAUAAAAUGAAAAGAGAGAAAUUGUACUUGAUAUUCUG
Molecule: unclassified non-coding RNA, 613 nt
Filed under: Hevea brasiliensis (rubber tree)
Lineage: Eukaryota; Viridiplantae; Streptophyta; Magnoliopsida; Malpighiales; Euphorbiaceae
Source: RNAcentral